UACGAGGGGUGCAAGCGUUGUUCGGAAUUACUGGGCGUAAAGCGCGUGUAGGUGGCUAUUUAUGUCAGGUGUGAAAGCCCUCGGCCUAACCGAGGAAGUGCGCCUGAAACUGAUUGGCUUGAGUACGAGAGAGGAGGACGGAAUUCCCAGUGUAGAGGUGAAAUUCGUAGAUAUUGGGAGGAACACCGGCGGCGAAAGCGGUUCUCUGGAUCGAUACUGACACUAAGACGCGAAAGCGUGGGUAGCAAACAGG
RNAcentral lists this ribosomal RNA (253 nucleotides) under uncultured bacterium. RNAcentral's name for it is "partial 16S ribosomal RNA". It matches the Rfam family "Bacterial small subunit ribosomal RNA", at positions 524 to 776 of the family's 1533-position model. The record is from RNAcentral.